Nilaparvata lugens (brown planthopper) is the source of this 2311-nucleotide RNA transcript. It is a transcript of the gene named caspase-1-like, with no coding region annotated. The transcript has 3 exons. The record is from RefSeq and is a predicted model, not a curated record. Lineage: Eukaryota; Metazoa; Arthropoda; Insecta; Hemiptera; Delphacidae.
UAGUUGAAAUUAGAAUUUGUUGGAGGCCUUGGAGCUUGUUGCUUUGAGGUUUGAUUGUAAGCUGUGAGUGAAAGUGAGUUUGUUGUUCAACUCUUGGUAGCAUUUUGAUUGUUUUUUGACUGCAUAUUGUAAAUUUCUUAGCAUUAGAAGUAUAAAAUAGUUUAUUUCCAGUAGCCUACAGUACAUACUGCACGUAUUUUGUUGAAAUCUCCUGAGCAUAAAAAAGGAUUAUAGUUUUUAACAUCCAUUUCCCAGUUCAAAAUUAUUCUUACUUUCCUUGCCUUACAUAAGAAAAGUAUUGCUUUCCAAAAAAAUUAAGAAAUGGAAGCACAUCAUUCAAAACGUGAAGGAAUUAGGGAAGAUGAGCUCGAUAGUCUAGAAGCAAAUGCGACCUACAACAUGAACCACAAAGCACGUGGCUCAGCGAUCAUUUUCAAUCACGAACAUUUUCUUGAAAAUUUGGAUCAAAGAAAAGGUACAGAUGUUGAUGCUUUCAAACUGCGAAAUUCUUUAGAAAGACUAGGGUUUUCUGUUGUCUCAUAUAAAGACCGCAAAGCAGAAGAAAUUGAGAACAUAAUCACUGAAGGUGCGUACAUAUGAAUGCGUCACAAACACAUGCAUUUCGCUUUUCAUCAACUGAUGUUCAGUUUAUUAUAUUAUCUGUAUCUAUGCAGAAACAGUAAAAUUAAGGUAUAAAUAUCGGGGCACCGAGCUUUGCUCGUUAUUUUUAUCCUAUUAUAUUAAGCGAGCAAUUUCUGUAUUUUUAUGUCUGGUUAUUUAUGUUCAACGGAUCUCAAGAACGGCUCUAACGAUUUUCACGAAAUUUGGAACAUAGUAGGUUUAUGAUAUAAACAUUCAAUUGCACUAGGUCUCAUCCUUGGGAAAACUCACUGAACGACAUUAAAAGGAUAAUUCAUUCUUGGCUGAAACAGCUGAGACAUUUGUCGUCUGUGGAUGGUAAAAAGUGAGCGAGUGAUUCUGUGGAAAAUCAAAAUAUCACAUCCCCGAAAUUCAUAAGCCGACUUAUAGCCAGCUGUUAGAUUUUGUCUGCCAUCCAUUCUUCACUUAAGUUUCUUUGUAGUAGUCGCGCUGGCAGUGUUUGAAUCUUGGUGCGCUUCUGCUGCCAACUUUAUUUUAAUCAGCUGACUUGUUGGUCACUCAUGUUUUUCGUCAUUCUUUCCUCAUUUAUAGCUUUAGAAUACAUUGCAUAUUUUUUAAAGAUUUUCGUCAAUUGUCCUAUUUAGGUUGUUUUCAGGUCUAAACUUUUUAAGCUUGUUUUUUUUUUGGUUCUGCAUUGUACAACACAACGUUACCCCCUGCUUCGUCUCUUGUGAACUUACUUCAUUCUUGUUCGCUCCAACUCGCUUUGUUCAGAGAUGAUGUAGCUCUGCAUUCUUCAAGUUUUGAAACCGUUCUUUUGCACUCAAUCUCAAUCUUCAGAUCACUUUUCAAAUGUUAUAAAGUGACUACAAUCAAGUCAUCAAUCAAUCAUAAGUUUUUAACUUUGAAGUCUUAAAUUUUCACAAUCUUCAAUUCAGUGCAUCGCAACCACAUGUUUCAUGUAUACUCAAGUGUUUUUCCAAGUUACUUUGGUCUCAGGUUUUAAUGAAUUUCAAUCAAAUUGCAUCUCUCAAACAUUCAUUCUGCAAUUCUAACUCACUUUUUACAAAUUUGAGUUGUGCUCCAAGUUCUUCACAUAAGAUUGUCUUGCUGUUGCAUCACGUUGCACUGUGACUUUGCUGUGUCGUAGCUGUUAACCACUAAUAGCCACAUUGUUGCCGCUUUUCUUCCCUUGGAACGACUUCAUCAUUUUGGAUCCUCGCUCAACUCCAUGUUUCUCUUGAUUCGUGAGAAUAUUUGCUCCUCCAGUAAUCCUGCUUCUGCUGCAGCUUCCCAUCGACAUGUCCUGGCCUGGAUAUGUCCUAUCUCUUGGCACUUUGAAGCUGCUAACCUUACAUUGAGCUAAGUAUUUUGUAUUAAUUUACCUUUUCUUUUACAUAUACGUACUAUCUACUGUUUUUGAUUUUCAAAAUAGUUAACCAAAAAAUCAGAUUUUAUUGACCAUUUAUUCAUUAGGCCAUCUUCAUUGUCAUUUUGAAAUUUAGCAACUUGUUUCACAUUGCCAUUCACUGGCUCAAGCCUGAAUUAACAUGUAUUUUGUACACCAAAUUUUUGUGAAUCUUUUCAAUUAUCUUUCAUUCUAGUCAAAGUUAUUAUAAUUUGACUUUUGAUUACAAUUAUCUGCUUCAAUUAUUUUGGUUCUUAGUUCCAUUCCCUUGCUUGGAUUUGUAAGAAUCUCCUUUACAAUUAU